Molecule: non-coding RNA, 293 nt
Filed under: Drosophila sechellia
Lineage: Eukaryota; Metazoa; Arthropoda; Insecta; Diptera; Drosophilidae
Description: Eukaryotic large subunit ribosomal RNA
Rfam family: Eukaryotic large subunit ribosomal RNA
Source: Rfam by way of RNAcentral
AUUUUUAGAAUACUAUUUGGGUUAAACCAAUUAGUUCUUAUUAAUUAUAACGAUUAUCAAUUAACAAUCAAUUCAGAACUGGCACGGACUUGGGGAAUCCGACUGUCUAAUUAAAACAAAGCAUUGUGAUGGCCCUAGCGGGUGUUGACACAAUGUGAUUUCUGCCCAGUGCUCUGAAUGUCAAAGUGAAGAAAUUCAAGUAAGCGCGGGUCAACGGCGGGAGUAACUAUGACUCUCUUAAGGGGAUCAGGGGUAAUUGCGAGCAGAGGGGGAGUAUUUUUCUGUAAUUCGUA